This 557-nucleotide ribosomal RNA is filed under the name Pachybathron sp. MNHN-IM-2013-60765. Its description in RNAcentral is "partial 12S ribosomal RNA". Lineage: Eukaryota; Metazoa; Mollusca; Gastropoda; Neogastropoda; Cystiscidae. The record is from RNAcentral.
AAUACUAAGGGGCUAAGUUAUAUAUUAUAGGUUAAAAAGGAAGUUAAAUAGAUUUGUUGAAGACUAAAAUUCGCUUAUUUAAAGGUAAAAUUUAAGAUAUAAGAUAAUAAAUCAAAAAAUCUUUAUUAUUGAAUCUUCGACAUCCUUGAGGGAAACUGGGAUUAGAUACCCCAUUAUUCUAGGAAUUAAAUUGAUAAUAAUAUUUACCAGAGAAUUACGAAAUAAAUUUAAAACUCAAAGAACUUGGCGGUGCCUUAGACUAUUUAGGGGAACUUGUCUCUUAAUCGAUAAUCCACGUUAAAUUUACCUAUAAUUGCAAAUCAGCUUGUAUACCAUUGUCGACAGGUAACUUUUAAGAAACCGGUAGUUAACAUAAUAGCUUUAAUAUGAGCUUGUACGUCAGAUCAAGGUGCAGCUUAUGUAUAGGAGAGGAUGAGUUACAAUUAUAAAAUUUAUAAUUACGGAACAUAUUUGGGAUAAGUAAUCAGAUAUAUAAAGGAGGACUUAAAAGUAAUAUUAGAAAUAAAAAUAAUAUGAACCAUAGCCCUGAGGCGUGC